Amphiprion ocellaris (clown anemonefish) is the source of this 362-nucleotide long non-coding RNA. The record is from Ensembl. NCBI's taxonomy places the organism in Eukaryota, Metazoa, Chordata, Actinopteri, Pomacentridae.
UGAGUACACAGGUCCUUAUACAGAGUACACAGGUCCUUACUACCGAGUACACAGGUCCUUAUACAGAGUACACAGGUCCUUAUACAGAGUACACAGGUCCUUACUACCGAGUACACAGGUCCUUACUGCUGAGUACACAGGUCCUUAUACAGAGUACACAGGUCCUUAUACAGAGUACACAGGUCCUUACUACCGAGUACACAGGUCCUUACUACCGAGUACACAGGUCCUUACUGCUGAGUACACAGGUCCUUAUACAGAGUACACAGGUCCUUACUACCGAGUACACAGGUCCUUAUACAGAGUACACAGGUCCUUAUACAGAGUACACAGGUCCUUACUACCGAGUACACAGGUCCUUA